Molecule: ribosomal RNA, 834 nt
Filed under: Salmonella enterica
Lineage: Bacteria; Pseudomonadati; Pseudomonadota; Gammaproteobacteria; Enterobacterales; Enterobacteriaceae
Description: partial 23S ribosomal RNA
Rfam family: Bacterial large subunit ribosomal RNA (bases 100-834)
Source: RNAcentral
CCACCACCAAAGCGUUUCGCUUUGUGUGGUGCACAAAGAAGCGUAACGACAGCACUGACUGACGGUUAACGGAGCGUAAGCGACGUUCAACACAAAAAUCAGGCAGUGGAGCGCUUUGGGGUGGGGUGACUGCGUACCUUUUGUAUAAUGGGUCAGCGACUUAUAUUCUGUAGCAAGGUUAACCGAAUAGGGGAGCCGAAGGGAAACCGAGUCUUAACCGGGCGUUAAGUUGCAGGGUAUAGACCCGAAACCCGGUGAUCUAGCCAUGGGCAGGUUGAAGGUUGGGUAACACUAACUGGAGGACCGAACCGACUAAUGUUGAAAAAUUAGCGGAUGACCUGUGGCUGGGGGUGAAAGGCCAAUCAAACCGGGAGAUAGCUGGUUCUCCCCGAAAGCUAUUUAGGUAGCGCCUCGUGAACUCAUCUCCGGGGGUAGAGCACUGUUUCGGCUAGGGGGCCAUCCCGGCUUACCAACCCGAUGCAAACUGCGAAUACCGGAGAAUGUUAUCACGGGAGACACACGGCGGGUGCUAACGUCCGUCGUGAAGAGGGAAACAACCCAGACCGCCAGCUAAGGUCCCAAAGUCAUGGUUAAGUGGGAAACGAUGUGGGAAGGCUCAGACAGCCAGGAUGUUGGCUUAGAAGCAGCCAUCAUUUAAAGAAAGCGUAAUAGCUCACUGGUCGAGUCGGCCUGCGCGGAAGAUGUAACGGGGCUAAACCAUGCACCGAAGCUGCGGCAGCGAACGUAUCACUUAAAGCGAUUCAGCGGGUGACGAUUGACGGAGCGAAGCGACGUCAAAGCGUAUACAAAGUCGAGUCGGUUUAAGGAUACGUU